CUUGAGCCGUGGCUUUCGGAGCUAACGCGUUAAGUAGACCGCCUGGGGAGUACGGUCGCAAGAUUAAAACUCAAAUGAAUUGACGGGGGCCCGCACAAGCGGUGGAGCAUGUGGUUUAAUUCGAUGCAACGCGAAGAACCUUACCUACUCUUGACAUCUACAGAACUUAGCAGAGAUGCUUUGGUGCCUUCGGGAACUGUAAGACAGGUGCUGCAUGGCUGUCGUCAGCUCGUGUCGUGAG
Molecule: ribosomal RNA, 241 nt
Filed under: Vibrio sp. s4s11
Lineage: Bacteria; Pseudomonadati; Pseudomonadota; Gammaproteobacteria; Vibrionales; Vibrionaceae
Description: partial 16S ribosomal RNA
Rfam family: Bacterial small subunit ribosomal RNA
Source: RNAcentral